RNAcentral lists this long non-coding RNA (1572 nucleotides) under Ananas comosus (pineapple). Its description in RNAcentral is "long non-coding RNA (ACOM_LNC017694)". The record is from RNAcentral. Lineage: Eukaryota; Viridiplantae; Streptophyta; Magnoliopsida; Poales; Bromeliaceae.
AUAGCAUAAAUCUAGAGGAAAAAAAAAAAAUUCAUAGCCGAAUUUUUGAUCCCGAAUUUUUAAUUGGUGAACGUAUAAUAUUCGUAUAAAUCACAUAUCCGAAUAGUUGACGAAUCCUUUUUUUUGCCGUAUUUUUCAAUGAAUUUUAAAAUUAGGAUACAAAUUUUAUCCGUAUUAUAUUUGUACCGAAUUUUUGCGGAAUCCAAAUUAACUAACUAUGAUCUCAUAGGCGUAGGAGAAAGUAGAUGGUAUCUCAGCUCUUGCUUUCUUGUGUUGAAUCAUUUUCCCCUUUUGUCCUAGACUAGUGCAGUGACUCGCGCGAUGCAGCGAAAAAAAAUAUUUUAAUAAAAAUUUAUAAAUUAAAUAAAUAAAUAUAAAUGUAAAGAAGAAACAAAAAAAUAUAACCAUAUUUAAUUAGACUUAAUAAUAUGAAAAACAUAUUAAAAAAUAUUUAAAAUGAAAUCACAACUCCACGAAAAAUAAUAAAAGAAACUGAAAAGAAAGAAAGUAUAUAAGAAUUAUAUGAGAAGAAAAAUGGUAUAGAUAUUAUAAAAAAAUAUUUGAAAUAUUGCAAGUGAAACAUAACAAAUAUUAAAGAGCACACCGAAGAGAUUUAAAUUAAUAUUUAACAAAUCAAAUAAACAGGUUCAGGAGUAAAGUGACCCGAGCAUUGUAGCAGAUAAAUACUGUUAAAGUUAAAAUUUAAAAAUAAUAAAUUAUCAGUAAAGAAAAAAAUAAAAUAUAUUCAUCUUCAUUAAAUUAUCUUAAAUAUACGCAUCGAGUCCAGAAUAACCAAAAAAAUAUAAAACUCACAUAAAGUAAUAAAAAAUCAUAAAAAAAUUUCAAAUUAUGCAAAAUUUGAAAUUUACAGAGUACUCACAUAUUAUUCCUUUCACAAAUUAGUUUUUAUUCAUGGGACAUAGAAUUUGGAGCAAUGAUCUAUUGACUUGAAAUCAAUACCAGAGCAAACAAAAAAAGAAUAAAGUAAAAUAUUAUAAAAUAAAAUUUGAAAAGUAAUAAAUAAAAAAAAUUAAAGCAAAGAAUAAGGAUUAACAUUUACCAUUUGAUUUAUCUUACUAUUCCCUGUUUUUUUUCCUCAACUAUUUCUCUUCCCAUCAAUUCCUCUUAUUCAUUUGUUAUUAAUUCUCCAUAAUAAUCACCCCAAUUAAAGUUCAAAAUUAAAUUUUAGAUAACGGAUGAUCUUCUAAAUUAUCAAUUAGCAAUAUGAUUUAUGAAUGUGUAACUUACUUGAUUAAUGUUUAAUUCCGUCGAUUCAGUAGAGAGGAAAAAAUAAGAAAGAUGAGAAGAAAAGGUGUAGGAAAAAGAUACUUUAAUUCACAUUAAAUAAAAAAUUAAAAUAACUUUUAAAUCUAACGUAAGAGAGAUGGAAAGAGAAACGGUAGGAAAAUUUAGAGAAUUGAUUUGGCUCAAAUGGGUUAUUAUUUUAUUAUUAUCUAUAUCUAUUAAUUAACCUAAGAAUGAAGGGUUUCUUGCCACGUGGCAAGAAAUAUUGGGGAUUCAUUAAAGUUAAUAGAUAGUUGUUUAUCGAUUCACAAACAAAAUGAUUUAGUG